GUGCCAGCCGCCGCGGUAAUACAGAGAGUGCAAACGUUGUUCGGAAUUACUGGGCUUGAAGCGCUCGUAGGCGGCAUCGUAAGUGUCGGGUGAAAUCCCACGGCUCACCCGUGGAACUGCCCGGCAUACUGCGGUGCUAGAGUGUGGUAGGGGAGAGCGGAACUCCUGGUGGAGCGGUGAAAUGCGUAGAUAUCAGGAGGAACACCGGUGGCGAAGGCGGCUCUCUGGUCCACAACUGACGCUGAGGAGCGAAAGCUAGGGGAGCAAACGGGAUUAGAUACCCUAGUAGUCC
RNAcentral lists this ribosomal RNA (292 nucleotides) under uncultured bacterium. RNAcentral describes it as "partial 16S ribosomal RNA". It matches the Rfam family "Bacterial small subunit ribosomal RNA", at positions 505 to 796 of the family's 1533-position model. The record is from RNAcentral.